Long non-coding RNA from Hypanus sabinus (Atlantic stingray), 2088 nucleotides. RefSeq lists it as uncharacterized. The transcript has 3 exons. Lineage: Eukaryota; Metazoa; Chordata; Chondrichthyes; Myliobatiformes; Dasyatidae. The record is from RefSeq and is a predicted model, not a curated record.
GUCGUUCACAUGUGUUGAACAAAUCUGAAACGGCCGCGAGCCGUAAGUAGAACGUUUCUUCAGUCCUGCGGUUGAGUUCAAACCGUAAUGAGAAGCGAAUACUGGAAAUGCUCAGCGGGUUGGUAAGCACGUUAGUCAGAUGAGCUAUCUCUCAGAUGCUGCAAGCAACAGACGAUUUUGAAAAUUCCAGGAGGUUACCAAUGGUGAGGGAAUGGCGGAAGCUGGAACACUCAGCACAAAUGGCGAUGGACACGGACCCAAGUUUAGAAUGGAGUCAGCAUUUCAGUCGUUCCCUGCCGUCAACCCUUCUUCCUUAUGAGCAAAUUUAUGCUGAAAAACAAAAUGCUGCCAAGCAAACAACCCUCACCACUUUCUUCAAACCGGUGCCGGCAGUUCUAAGAGUUCUGUGAGUCUUCCUUCACCCCUCGCUGUGCUCGAUAUGAUCCUGACGACCACAACCAUCCACCUUAUCCAUGUAAAGCUGCCUGACACCACAACCACUCAUCUCCCAGAGCGAACACACCUGCCACUGUUGAUAUGUUGAUGACAGCUUCGUAGUGAGGCCUCAUGGACUCCAGGCACUCCAACAAUUCCACGACCAUCUGGACAGUAUGCAUCCAAACAUUCAAUUUACGAUGGAGAUGGAGAAGAAUGGUUGCCUCCCGUUCCUGGACAUUCUAAUAUGACAGAAACUGGACAGUAGCCUCGGGCAUGGCGUCCAUCAGAAACCCAUACACAUGGUCUUAAACCUCAACAAUAUCAGCCACCAUCACACCUCCCAAUGUAGAUCUGUUCUUUCUACUUUGAUUAAACAUGCAAAAACUAUUUUGGACCUGGAGAGUCUCCACAAGGAAAUAAGAUGAUUAUGCAUGAUGUUCCUACAGAAUGGCUACAAGGUGAAGGAAGUCAAUCGUUACCACCUGUCUUCCCUAAAUUUCCAUGGUUUCUGGAAGGACCACCAAGAUCCUGAAGAAAUACCAGAUUAAUACCAUCCAGAAACCUGUAAGGAAGCUCAAAAUGACAGCUUAUGCGGUUCAAAGAUGACCUGAGACUCAGGUUGGCUGGUGCUUACAAGAUUCCCUGUGAAUGUGGAGCAGCAGAUAUUGCUCAGACAGGAUGCAUGGUGGAAACCCACAUCAUGGAGGGUAGGAGGUGUAUCUGUUUGGAUUACCCAGAGUAAUCAGCAAUAGCAGAACUUUGCAUUCACAAUGGCCAUAGGAUUGACUUUGAUGGCACAAAACUACAGUGCCAUGUCAGUGGCUUUUGGUACUGCCUGGUAAAGGAAGCCAUUGAAAUAAGACUAGAGGAAAAGAAUUUUAACAAGGACGAAGGUCUCACUCUAAGUAAGAACCAGAAUUUGAUUGUAAACAAAGUGGAAAAGCAGAAACCUGAUUGGAUGAGGACUAACCAAUUAGGAGGGAUGGAUGGAUGACGGGGGUAUAAAUACCACCAGUCUAGACAUGCCCAGGCAUCAUUCCUGAUGAAGAUGGCAGAGUUGGUCAUCGAAACGUCGGUUAAAAUCGAUACCUGUAAAUGGCUGGAAAGCCCUUGAAGAGUUUAUUCAUCAUAAAUACUGGGAAAGCACUAGAUGCUUUUUCAGAUAUAAGGAAAAUGCCUAAAUAGCAUAGGUGAACUUAUAAAGAUCCCAAUCAUGAGUUUAAGAGAACUCAAGGGAUGAAAGGUUCUCAAGCUGCCCAGACCCGGUGGCAUGUACAUACUCAUUGAAGCUUCUCAAAUCUCACAGAAUUCUGUGAUACUAUCAGAGGAUCAGAAAGAAAUGCAAAAAUAUGACUCCCUUGCUGAGGAAUGGUGGAGGACAGAAGUUAGAAUACUAUAGGUCUGCUGACUUGAUAUCUGUUGUUGGCAAAAUGCUAGAGUCAAUAAGCAAACAACAAAAACAUAGGAAAUCAUUAGGAAAGCUUGAUCUUACCAAACCAUGAAAGGCUGAUCAUGUAGGACAAAUUUGUUUAAGUUCUUAAGAGACUGUAAUAAGUAGAUAGAUUACUAAAUAUGGUGUAUUGGUUGUCCAACAGACAUUUGUCAAGGAACGACAUAAAGGCUGGGUGUACAAAUUAGCUCAUGGCAUUA